RNAcentral lists this non-coding RNA (96 nucleotides) under Paenibacillus sp. RNAcentral describes it as "c-di-GMP sequence". It matches the Rfam family "c-di-GMP-I riboswitch aptamer". Rfam says of the family: GEMM was predicted in a large-scale screen for bacterial structured RNA regulatory elements. Genes associated with GEMM are involved in a diverse array of functions, including chemotaxis regulation, signal transduction, secretion and chitin. The record is from RNAcentral. Lineage: Bacteria; Bacillati; Bacillota; Bacilli; Caryophanales; Paenibacillaceae.
UUCCGACAAUGGCAAACCUGGCGAAAGCCAGCGACGCAAAGCUAUAGGGGCGUAACCGCGGCGUUAAUGAACGCCGCAAGCCAGCCAGCUACCGAA